UGGGGAAUUUUGGACAAUGGGCGAAGCCUGAUCCAGCAAUGCCGCGUGUGUGAAGAAGGCCUUCGGGUUGUAAAGCACUUUUGUCCGGAAAGAAAUCCUUGGCUCUAAUACAGUCGGGGGAUGACGGUACCGGAAGAAUAAGCACCGGCUAACUACGUGCCAGCAGCCGCGGUAAUACGUAGGGUGCAAGCGUUAAUCGGAAUUACUGGGCGUAAAGCGUGCGCAGGCGGUUUGCUAAGACCGAUGUGAAAUCCCCGGGCUCAACCUGGGAACUGCAUUUGGUGACUGGCAGGCUAGAGUAUGGCAGAGGGGGGUAGAAUUCCACGUGUAGCAGUGAAAUGCGUAGAGAUGUGGAGGAAUACCGAUGGCGAAGGCAGCCCCCUGGGCCAAUACUGACGCUCAUGCACGAAAGCGUGGGGAGCAAAACAGGAUUAGAUACCCUGGUAGUCCACGCCCUAAACGAUGUCAACUAGUUGUUGGGGAUUCAUUCCUUAGUAACGUAGCUAACGCGUGAAGUUGACCGCCUGGGGAGUACGGUCGCAAGAUUAAAACUCAAAUGAAUUGACGGGGUCAUAGCUG
This 579-nucleotide ribosomal RNA is filed under the name uncultured bacterium. RNAcentral's name for it is "partial 16S ribosomal RNA". It matches the Rfam family "Bacterial small subunit ribosomal RNA", at positions 355 to 932 of the family's 1533-position model. The record is from RNAcentral.